RNAcentral lists this ribosomal RNA (450 nucleotides) under uncultured bacterium. RNAcentral describes it as "partial 16S ribosomal RNA". It matches the Rfam family "Bacterial small subunit ribosomal RNA", at positions 354 to 796 of the family's 1533-position model. The record is from RNAcentral.
GUGGGGAAUAUUGGACAAUGGGCGAAAGCCUGAUCCAGCCAUGCCGCGUGUGUGAAGAAGGUCUUCGGAUUGUAAAGCACUUUAAGUUGGGAGGAAGGGCAGUAAGUUAAUACCUUGGUGUUUUGACGUUACCAACAGAAUAAGCACCGGCUAACUUCGUGCCAGCAGCCGCGGUACUCCGAAGGGUGCAAGCGUUAAUCGGAAUUACUGGGCGUAAAGCGCGCGUAGGUGGUUUUGUAAGUUGGAGGUGAAAUCCUCGGGCUCAACCUGGGAACUGCCUCCAAAACUGCAUGACUAGAGUACGGUAGAGGAUAGUGGAAUUUCCGGUGUAGCGGUGAAAUGCGUAGAUAUAGGAAGGAACACCAGUGGCGAAGGCGACUACCUGGACUGAUACUGACACUGAGGUGCGAAAGCGUGGGGAGCAAACAGGAUUAGAUACCCGUGUAGUCC